UUUUUAAAAAAAAAAAAAAAGAAAAGGUGUACAAGAGAUCAAGACGAAAACCAAACCAAAGAAACCAAAAUAGGUCCAAGACCAUAAAUUUAAACCAUGACUUAAUAUAAAAAAACUAAGCAAAGCAGUUACUAAAGGCAAAAGAAAUAGAGGCACAAAGAUCUUGUGAAAUGGAGGCACAAGAUCCGGAAGAUAGGCAGCCCAUGAAUGCUUCUACUUCUUGAUAAUGAUCAAACCAUGUAAUCACAAGCUAGGAAAGUUCUCUCACAGGACUCUGCACAAAAGAAUCAACCUAAAAGGUUGAACUUGAGAGUUGUGUAUAAGGACCUACAAAUAAGUUUUAAUAGCUCUAAAACAAAAAACACUGCCCUGCCUUACCUUAUGUUGAAAUUUAGUAAUGAAAGGCGAGUGUCUAGGAUAUUCAAAUUCUAGACCUUCUGGUGGGAGAAACUAUAAUAUUGUGUCAUGGAACUCAACCUUGAGGUUCAUGAUCAUGCCAGCCAAAAAAGCAGCAGAGACAAUGAUAAAGCUCAACUCUUGCAAUCUUUAUCAGCUCCAAAUUCUAGCAGAACUCCUUGAAUCAAGAAAAGCUUCUAUUCCAGCUAAGACCUCCAUCAACAAUUGUCAUGAACACCAAUGUCCAUGGCUGGUGCCAUGAUCCUACAUGGUCCACUUUGCAAACAUAUACUUGGUUGAAGUUCUCUUUUGCUUUGUCCAUGAACAAAUAGAUGUUGUUCAAUUCUUCAAAAAUCUGGUCAUGGACUCAGCCAAUCUCUAUUCCUUAACAUUGCCACGUGCCCUUAAGAUACAAUUGUUGAUCUUCAUAUCCUCAAGAUAAUACAACCAAUUUCUAAAAUAUGGCCACAUCUCUUGAGAUAAGUCAACUCUGUUACUUGCGUGGCCAGUCAUAUGGCCAUGUGAUAUAUAUCCCUCUCUUAUUCUUAGUAAACACUGCCAAUUACAGCACAAAAAGCACCAUAUAGGUUGGCAGUAGUGUAGAGGUCGCUCAUUCCCUGCAGGGAUCUGCCCCAAAUCGGUAGGGAAUCCACAGUUUGUCUCUAUGAGAUAGGGCAUAGCCCCAAGCAGAGUGAUCCCUGAACAUGGGGACCCAAAUGUGCAAUGAGUAACCAUAGGGAUCCCCAUGAGACAUCGAUGGACCCAAAUAUCACAGGGGAAUAGGGAUCCCUACAGGGACAAAGACGGGAAAAUAUUUCUCCCAUUAGAGGGCAGGGACAAGGAUGAGGAAUUACUGUUGCCCCACCCUGUUGCCAUUCCCAGCAACAUUAUGGACCAUAUAUGAACUAUCAUGGGCAAACAAAUCAGACACUCAUACUUCAAAAGGGAAACAGAGCUUCAUCUGCCACAUAUGAAAUCAGCCGUCCACACUCCAAAACAAAUCAAAUAAUGUGUUUUCUAGCUAAUAUUGAGAUACUUGAGGUGCAAACAACUAUAGAAGCAAAAAGAAAUCCAUUGUACCAAAGAAAGCUAAAUCCAAAUUUCCCAAGGCAAAUUAAAAGCCUCUGCUUAAUUUUAUUAAGAAUUGUAGGUUUAAAGUCUCUCAUAAUGAUCUUACAAGUCCCGUUACAAGAAACUAAGACUUUUGAACCAUAGUUUAAAAUUAAUAUUUUCUGUUCAAGCAAAAGCAAAGUCCAAAGAUAUCUACAACAAAAUUAGAUCCAGGUACAAAGUUCCAAUCUUUACCAAUCCUAACUACAGUACCAUGAACAAUGUCUAUACACAGCCAAAUUAAUAUGCUUUAGGAAAUAGUGCCUGCUGGGCGCCAAGCUGACACUUCAAAAAAAAAAAAAAAGAAGCUCAGA
This 1820-nucleotide unclassified non-coding RNA is filed under the name Hevea brasiliensis (rubber tree). The record is from RNAcentral. Lineage: Eukaryota; Viridiplantae; Streptophyta; Magnoliopsida; Malpighiales; Euphorbiaceae.